RNAcentral lists this ribosomal RNA (438 nucleotides) under Triticum aestivum (bread wheat). RNAcentral's name for it is "partial small subunit ribosomal RNA". Lineage: Eukaryota; Viridiplantae; Streptophyta; Magnoliopsida; Poales; Poaceae. The record is from RNAcentral.
AUGGAGGGUUCAGACGACAACAACGCGGAUGAUCUGCUGGUGCACUACUCGUUCUUCCCUCAGGUAAACGCGAAUCACAUCUCGUCCAUGAGCAGCCACUGUCGCGACUGCGGCACCCGUUGCCGUUGUCUGUGGUUUCAGCGGCACCUCCUUCCCUCAUCGUGCUGCUGGCGCGUGCUCCUUGUCCCCUCGUCGUGUCGCUGCCGCGUCUUUCUUGUGGCCGCGCUGCUGGCACCCAUGUCGGUGGUGUCGACUGUCGGUGUUAUACAUCUACGAUCUUUGCUCGACUUCCAUCUUUUAAUUUUGCUUCCUAUUUUAGUGCAGCAUCCGCGAGUGGUUACGUUAAGCAAGAAGAUGAUGUUCGAGAUCGUCGCGCCGCAGCUGACUGGUGUGGAAGAAUACAGUGGUCGAAGAGGUGACGCCGAAUGUGUUCGUUGA